GAUCAUGGCUCAGGAUGAACGCUAGCUACAGGCUUAACACAUGCAAGUCGAGGGGCAGCAUGAAAGGAACUUCGGUUCUUUUUGAUGGCGACCGGCGCACGGGUGCGUAACGCGUAUCGAACCUGCCUCAUACUCGGGGAUAGCCUUGCGAAAGUAAGAUUAAUACCCGGCGGUCUCGGAUGGCCGCAUGACUAUCCGAGUGAAGAUUUAUCGGUAUGAGAUGGCGAUGUGU
RNAcentral lists this ribosomal RNA (232 nucleotides) under uncultured bacterium. RNAcentral's name for it is "partial 16S ribosomal RNA". It matches the Rfam family "Bacterial small subunit ribosomal RNA", at positions 15 to 236 of the family's 1533-position model. The record is from RNAcentral.